This is a non-coding RNA of Phrynosoma platyrhinos (Desert horned lizard), 70 nucleotides long. The record is from the annotation of a GenBank genome assembly. Lineage: Eukaryota; Metazoa; Chordata; Lepidosauria; Squamata; Phrynosomatidae.
GCCAGCAUGGCGCAGUGGUUUGAGCAUUGAACUAUAACUCUGAGACCAGGGUUCGAAUCCUGGUUUGGCC